UACAGAGGUCUCAAGCGUUGUUCGGAUUCAUUGGGCGUAAAGGGUGCGUAGGAGGGCAGGUAAGUCAGUGGUGAAAUCCCCGAGCUUAACUUGGGAACUGCCGUUGAUACUAUCUGUCUUGAAUAUUGUGGAGGUAAGCGGAAUAUGUCAUGUAGCGGUGAAAUGCUAGAUAUGACAUAGAACACCAAUUGCGAAGGCAGCUUGCUACACAACUAUUGACUCUGAUGCACGAAAGCGUGGGGAUCAAACAGG
RNAcentral lists this ribosomal RNA (252 nucleotides) under uncultured bacterium. RNAcentral's name for it is "partial 16S ribosomal RNA". It matches the Rfam family "Bacterial small subunit ribosomal RNA", at positions 524 to 776 of the family's 1533-position model. The record is from RNAcentral.